Oreochromis aureus is the source of this 763-nucleotide long non-coding RNA. RefSeq lists it as uncharacterized. Lineage: Eukaryota; Metazoa; Chordata; Actinopteri; Cichliformes; Cichlidae. The record is from RefSeq and is a predicted model, not a curated record. The transcript has 3 exons.
CAAGGAGAAACGAGCAAAAGAUACAGGUUCUACAGUGGGCUGGCCAACCCUCUUAACCAUCAGAGUGUAGCAGAAAGAGAUAGUGAGCACAGGCAGCAGGGCGGAGUCGGACUAUGCUCCCCACCUCUGUCCUCGCCUACUCAGCUCUACUCACCUGUCACCCAUCUGCUGUAAUCACUCACCUGCCAAUCAUCACGGAUUAUUACCCUGUGGAGUCUGCUCCCUUGCUGAAUCGUUGUGCUGACUUGUGUCAGUGUAGACCCGGCUUGGCUAGUGAGUUCCUUGUGUUUCCUAAUGCGUCUCCCUAAUCUGUUCUUCUUGUGCAGACUUCUCUAUCCCUACCUGUUUCUCCUGCCCUGUGGACCCUGAGUGGGUGUGAGUGAGUGUGAGUGAACUUUCUUGGAUUGGAUUUGGAGUUUUUGUGACUCGUGGACUGUGUGAAGAGGAGUGUGAAGGUUUCCCUGCCCUGGACAUUCUCCCCCUAGAUUCCCUGGAGCCCCCUUUCCCUGCUGCUGUAUAUAUUUCACCUGGUGUGCAUCUGUAAAUAAACCCCUUUCACUUUUCACCAGUUUUGAGUCCUGCACCCAACUAACUUUGACACAAAUGUGUUUCUUACAAGAGCUCUUACAGUGUGCUGCCAAGCUAUUAGAGGAAGCGCUUUUCUUAUAGUGUCUUGCAAGCUUGUUUUUGUUUUUUUGUUUUUUGCUUUAUAUUUUAAUCGCUGCUCUCUAGAAAGCAGACGUUCAAGCAGCUUUUUUGUCCU